RNAcentral lists this ribosomal RNA (465 nucleotides) under uncultured bacterium. RNAcentral's name for it is "partial 16S ribosomal RNA". It matches the Rfam family "Bacterial small subunit ribosomal RNA", at positions 28 to 507 of the family's 1533-position model. The record is from RNAcentral.
GAUGAACGCUGGCGGCGUGCUUAACACAUGCAAGUCGAACGGAAAGGCUCCUGCUUGCCGGGGUACUCGAGUGGCGAACGGGUGUGUAUCACGUGGGUGAUCUGCCCUGCACUUCGGGAUAUGCCUGGGAAACUGGGUCUAAUACCGGAUAGGACGUUGGUUUGGAUGCCAUUGUGGAAAGUUUUUCGGUGUGGGUUGAGCUCGCGGCCUAUCAGCUUGUUGGUGGGGUAAUGGCCUACCAAGGCGUCGACGGGUAGCCGGCCUGAGAGGGUGUACGGCCACAUUGGGACUGAGGUACGGCCCAGACUCCUACGGGAGGCAGCAGGGGGAAAUAUUGCACAAUAGGCGCAAGCCUGAUGCAGCGACUCCGCGUGGGGGAAGACGGCCUUCGGGUUGUAAACACCUUUCGCUAGGGACGAAGCGCAAGUGACGGUACCUGGAGAAGAAGCACCGGCUAACUACGUG